UUUCCGGUUGAUCCUGCCGGACCUGACUGCUAUCGGAUUGAUACUAAGCCAUGCGAGUCAUUGUAGCAAUACAAGGCAGACGGCUCAGUAACGCGUAGUCAACCUACCCUAUGGACGGGAAUAACCUCGGGAAACUGAGUAUAAUGCCCGAUAGAACACUAUACCUGGAAUGGUUUGUGUUCCAAAUGAUUUAUCGCCGUAGGAUGGGACUGCGGCCUAUCAGUUUGUUGGUGAGGUAAUGGCCCACCAAGACUAUUACAGGUACGGGCUCUGAGAGGAGUGGCCCGGAGAUGGGUACUGAGACACGGACCCAGGCCCUAUGGGGCGCAGCAGGCGAGAAAACUUUGCAAUGUGCGAAAGCACGACAAGGUUAAUCCGAGUGGUUUCUGCUAAAGGAACCUUUUGACAGUCCUAAAACCACUGAUGAAUAAGGGGUGGGCAAGUUCUGGUGUCAGCCGCCGCGGUAAAACCAGCACCUCAAGUGGUCAGGAUGAUUAUUGGGCCUAAAGCAUCCGUAGCCUGUUCUGAAAGUUUCCGGUUAAAUCCAUUAACUCAACUAAUGGGCUGCCGAAAAUACUGCAGAACUAGGGAGUGGGAGAGGUAGACGGUACUCGGUAGGAAGGGGUAAAAUCCUUUGAUCUAUCGAUGACCACCAGUGGCGAAGGCGGUCUACCAGAACACGUUCGACGGUGAGGGAUGAAAGCUGGGGGAGCAAACCGGAUUAGAUACCCGGGUAGUCCCAGCUGUAAACGAUGCAAACUCGGUGAUGCACUGGCUUGUGGCCAGUGCAGUGCCGCAGGGAAGCCGUUAAGUUUGCCGCCUGGGAAGUACGUACGCAAGUAUGAAACUUAAAGGAAUUGGCGGGGGAGCACCACAAGGGGUGAAGCCUGCGGUUCAAUUGGAAUCAACGCCGGA
RNAcentral lists this ribosomal RNA (915 nucleotides) under uncultured archaeon. RNAcentral's name for it is "bacterial SSU rRNA". It matches the Rfam family "Archaeal small subunit ribosomal RNA", at positions 1 to 922 of the family's 1478-position model. The record is from RNAcentral.